GAUGAACGCUGGCGGCGUGCCUAAUACAUGCAAGUCGAGCGAACGGACGAGAAGCUUGCUUCUCUGAUGUUAGCGGCGGACGGGUGAGUAACACGUGGAUAACCUACCUAUAAGACUGGGAUAACUUCGGGAAACCGUAGCUAAUACCGGAUAAUAUUUUGAACCGCAUGGUUCAAUAGUGAAAGACGGUCUUGCUGUCUCUUAUAGAUGGAUCCGCGCUGCAUUAUCUAGUUGGUAAGGUAACGGCUUACCAAGGCAACGAUGCAUAGACGACGUGAGAGGGGGAUCGGCCACCUGGGAACUGAGCAACGGUCAAGACUCCUACGGGAGGCAGCAGUAGGGAAUCUGCCGCAAUGGGCGAAAGCCUGACGGAGCAACGGCGCGUCAGUGAUGAAGGUCUUCGGAUCGUAAAACUCUGUUAUUAGGGAAGAACAUAUGUGUACGUAACUGUGCACAUCUUGACGGUACCUAAUCAGAAAGCCACGGCUAACUACGUG
RNAcentral lists this ribosomal RNA (497 nucleotides) under uncultured bacterium. RNAcentral's name for it is "partial 16S ribosomal RNA". It matches the Rfam family "Bacterial small subunit ribosomal RNA", at positions 28 to 507 of the family's 1533-position model. The record is from RNAcentral.